GAGAUUGGCAGUUCAUAUACGAAAACUGGAAUGAUACAGAGAUUAGCCUGGCCCCUGGGCAAGGAUGACACAGACAUUCACGAGACAUUCCUUUUUCUU
Molecule: small nuclear RNA, 99 nt
Filed under: Catagonus wagneri (Chacoan peccary)
Lineage: Eukaryota; Metazoa; Chordata; Mammalia; Artiodactyla; Tayassuidae
Source: RNAcentral